UACGUAGGGAGCGAGCGUUACCCGGAAUUACUGGGCGUAAAGGGCGCGUAGGCGGUUGGGUAAGUCUUCUGUGAAAGCUCCCGGCUUAACCGGGAGAGGUCAGGGGAUACUACUCGACUUGAGGGCAGUAGAGGAAGGUGGAAUUCCCGGUGUAGCGGUGAAAUGCGUAGAUAUCGGGAGGAAUACCAGUGGCGAAGGCGGCCUUCUGGGCUGUACCUGACGCUGAGGCGCGAGAGCGUGGGGAGCAAACUGG
This 253-nucleotide unclassified non-coding RNA is filed under the name uncultured Dehalococcoidia bacterium. Its description in RNAcentral is "contains 16S-23S intergenic spacer region". It matches the Rfam family "Bacterial small subunit ribosomal RNA", at positions 524 to 776 of the family's 1533-position model. The record is from RNAcentral. Lineage: Bacteria; Bacillati; Chloroflexota; Dehalococcoidia.